UACUACUCAUACUGAUCAAAGUCACUCAGUUGGGAUGGGUGGGAGUAGGAGGUUUGUGGGGUGGCUUGUGCGGAGGAGUUGGCAGCUUCUUUCCAGGACCUGGUUGCUUCUCUGCUGGAGUUGAAGGAGGCUUAAUCUUCCGAGGUGGCUUGUAUGAGUCUUCAGCAUUCUCAGCUGGAGGGUGACCAGGGUUGUGACCAUAAUGUGGUGGCUUCUCUCCCUUAGGUGGUUUGCCAACUGGGGUUGGUGGCUUGUAUGAGUCUUCAGCAUUCUCAGCAGGAGGGUGACCAGGGUUGUGACCAUAAUGUGGUGGCUUCUCUCCCUUAGGUGGUUUGCCAACUGGGGUUGGUGGCUUGUGUUCUGGGAGUGGCUUCUCCCCCUUGGGAGGUUUUUCCAAUGGGGUUGGUUUGUGUUCAGGAGGUGGCUUCUCCACUGGAGGCUUGUGUUCAGGAGGUGGCUUCUCCACCGGAGGCUUGUGUUCAGGUGGUGGCUUCUCCACCGGAGGCUUAUGCUCUGGUGGUGGCUUCUCGAAUGGGGGAUGCUUAGGAUAAUCAGCAAGUGAGGGGGCGGUGAGAACCACCAGGCCAAGCAACACCACUAGCAAAUAUGUAGGAGACAUCUUUGGGUUUGGGCUCAGAUGGUGCAAAACUAGGAGAAUUGGCUAGCCUUUUAUAGCGGAUCGUACCCAAUAAUGAAAUGACACGUGUCAUUAUGACCCAUGUGUAAUGGGGUCGAUUUGGGUCCUACAGUGUUGAAAACUUCGACAUCCACUUUUGGCCUUUUGCUUUCUCUACAGCCGCCUUGCUUUUUCCCUCUUUCCUUUUGUUUUCCUCCUGCCCCAUUCUAUCAACUAAACACAAUUAUGUAGUUGUUUAAUUCUUAAAUGAGAUAUUAUCCGUCAAUCGUAUUAUAUUUUAUCAAGAGAGAACGGAGUGCAAUGUGGCUGUAAUUUUAUCGUUUAGUUUUAUCUCUUGGACCACUGCAUUUUUGUUAAGAGGUGCAAUAAUACACGUCUUUAUCUGCCAUUCAAUAUUUACAGUAAAGAGAGGGCACAAAACUCUUCACUUCGCACCAUAAUUAUUUUGUUUUCUGGACACCCCGGGGCCCUUUGGUUGGUUUGGGGGUCAGAAAGUGAACAUCAUAGGGGGUUUUUCCCUUAUGUGCAUUUGUAUCUGAUGGCUUUAACUCGCCUUGUUACUACAAAGAAACUGUCACAGAUAGGAACUUAUUCCAGGCUGAGUAUCUCCUCAUAGACCCUAUAAAAGAAGACAAGUCAUAAUGAACAUCUAACCUUUGUUCAAUUUGAUUCAAUGCCCCCAUUGUGUCCAUCUCACAAAUCUGAAUUAUUAUAUCCAUUGAAUACAUAAAUUAAUGAAGAAAAUAUGAAACCCAAGAUACAUCUCUGCACAACCUCAACCCUGGUUGCUAUGUUUCCCUUCUAUUCACAUGAUUUGAUGCUAAUUGCCAAACUUGCAACAAGCCCUGAGUUUGACACCUAGUAUCGAUGGGCGAAUUUAAAGUCUCCUCCAAACAUAUAUUCCACAGCUUGAAGCUCACAGAAGAUGUUACAGGCAGGGAAAAACCUUCAGAGUUCGCUACCAAAGAUAAUUAUUAAGGAGAUAUCACAAAGAGAAUUCCAAGGGGUCUGAAUCAAAGACAAAUUGGUCGUUCGUGGGGGUUCUUACUUUCUUUUGGGUAUAACUCACUGAGGGCACUGUCUUUGUUAUUUGCAUUUCACAUUUAGAGUUCUGUUCUGGAAACAUAUAAAAGGAGCAUCAUUUUGUUCUUGGGUAACCCAUAGUCGUGAGUGGGUCCAUUUGCAUGCUACUUAGUUGAAAAGUUGGACCAUUUGCUCCGACGCCUACCUCCCGGAUUCCAUGCUCGGAUAAAACAAGAAUAAAAAAAAUAUUUAUAAUUUACAAAUGGGGGAAAGAAAAAAAUGUCAACAACAAACCAGGAAAAAAGAGUAGUAAAAUUCAUGUCACAUGCUAGUGAGAGAAGGGGUUGUUACACUCACUCGAAGUUCUUUCCAAAAUAUCGCAUGGUAUUUUAUUUUAUGUGUCAGCGCAGUUGUGAAUGGAACGUGCAAAAGUCCAAAUUGGCGUUUUUCCUUUUCCCGUGUAGGAUGGCGACCUUUAAUAAAUAUUUAAAACAAAAAACGAAAAAAAGGAGGGAAAAGGGAUCAGAAAAGAUAAAACAAUGUGUACAAGAGCUCAAUUAGUUUGCAAAUUACUGUUUGGAUUUUGAUAGUAUUUUAUUUGUCCAUCUAUAUUUGAUGGAAAAGAGAAUUUAAGAUAUUUCUGAAACAAAAGCAUUAGUGUAAAACUAAAUUAAGGUAUAAUUAAGUUAGUUCAAUGCAUUAAUUUAAGAAACUUGAUCUAUCCAAAGUACAAAAUUAGAUGAAAUCCAUUUCAAUGGUUAAAAUGAUCAAAAUCAAACUUUUUCUAAGUAUUUUUUAAAAGCAUCAAUAUUAAAAGACAAUUUUAUAUUUAGUCGGAGUUUGGACAAAACCAAAAAGCACACAAAAUCCAAGCGACCAUCUCUAGCUUGGAUAGUCACUUGAUCCCACCUAGAGAUGUGCAUGAGUAAAAGGAUUUGAAAAUGGAAAUUGACUAAAUAUUUAGUUGAUCAAUUAAAUUUGCAAUGUCAUAUGCAAUCCUAAUAGCUAGUCAUCUAAUCAAUUAGGUAGUCAAUCAAGUGUUUGUAAUGACUAUUUUGUACAAAAAACCACAUGUAUAGUUAAAUAUAAUGCAUUUCAUUUAUAAAUCUUCUAAUUCUUGAAUAACGAUCCUAUCAUCCUUUGAAAAUUUUUAUUACACCUUUUUUACUUUUGUUCUAAAACUUACAUAUCACCCUUAAUUGUACCAUGAGAACCUAGCUAUUUUUUUUUUUUUUGUAAUUCAUCAAAGUUAGCUUUUGUAUUCAUUGUUGUAUUAUUUUUAGUAUAACUUAGAAAGCUAGUGUUUUCAAGUGAGUAAAAUUAACUUGUAAAUAUUGUAAAGAUUCAUUGAUAUGUAUCUUAAACUAAGUGUACAAAUUAAAACAUUUGCUAGUAGAUUUUCUCAAAAUUUAGAAUAGAGCUUGAGGCUAUUGAAAUAGGUGGGGUUACACCAAACCACAUCACAUCGUUGUUUGCACCUUUUUUCACUCUCUUUUACUUAGUUUCUCUAUAUUUGUUGUCUAGUAAUAUCCUAUAGGCUUGAUGGGUUAGGGAGCAUCCCUUUGUGAAAAAAUUUCAUUCAAUUCUUAGUUGUAUUACGCAUAUAUAAAAUGCCUCAUUGUUUUAAUGGUAUUCAGUCGUGGCAUCACAGAUAUGGGCAUCUAAAUUUUAAAAGUUUGAAACUUUUGUAAAGCAUGUUGAUAAAAUCCAUGAGAGUUGUGUACUUGGGAAGCAACAUCGAGGUGACUUUAUUUUUUUUUCCUUUUAUAAUGCCACACCUAAGUCCGGUUUCUAAAUGCUAAAGUGAAAGGGUAGGUAUGGACCAUUGAAAUGUGAUCACAACUUUUGGCCUUUUCCUUUCUCUGCAGCCAUGUUGUCUCUUUUUUCUUUUGCAUGAUUUUCUUACCAAAACAGAAUCAUAGACUUGUUUAGUCUCUAAGCUACUAUAUUAUAUCUCGGUGGACUUUUAAGAGUGCAACCGACAUAGAGCACAUGCAAGUGGGCAUAUGGGACAUGAAAUUUCUUCUUACAAAGAUUGCAUGAUUUUUAUAUUAGAGUUGUUCACGUGCAAUGUAUUUAGCUUGUUUUGCAGUUAAAUUAAUUGGAUAAGUAAACAUUGGCAUUUCUAAAUCGACUGUGAAGUGCUUCAUGUACGUGUAAAGUAUUAGAAAUUUCUUUCUUGGCAACUUGUUUUUUCCUUGCCAUCUACUGGUAGGUUUGACUAAAAUUAUAUUCCCUGUCAUGCUAAUUAAUUUUCAUGUGCAUGCUCAAAAGAAGAGUAUGACCUUAGUGCACCAAAAUCACUUUGAUUAAUUUGUGAUAGGUUUUUUUGCAUCAUUUAGAUAAUGUUUAGUUCUAAGAAAAAUUUAUAUAAAAAUGGUUUAUUUAUCUUACAUAUAUAUAUAUAUAUAUAUAUUUUUUUUUUUUUCAUUUUUUUUUCUUCUAUUUUAUUUAUUUAUUUUAUUUUCCUUAUGUUUUCCUCACAUUUUCCGGAACUAAACAUAGUCUUACGAAAUCAACAAUUGCCUUCAACUGAGUAGAUUCUGUUGUUUUAGCAAUGUUAGGCUGCUAACUUGUGGUGGUACGAACCAAAUGACCCAUGUUAAUCUUGGCUUGGUUUGAUUUGGCUCUAUCUCAGAGAGCUAAAGGAUCACGUCAACUCUGGUUUCUACUAUUCAGGUCCAUUCCCAGAUGAACUGGUUCAAAUUUGAGAAAAUGGUAACAGACCUUUAGUGAUGUUGGUUUGGAGCCAGUUGCCAAACCCGCCCUGAGCUUUACCACUAAUGUCAAGGGAGAAAGCCAUUUGAACAAAAACAAUAGCUUCAAGAGACUGAAUCGUGGAUGAAAUCUGAUCCACAUUUCUUCUCAUUUUGGGAAAAAAUGAGAACUUAACUACAAAGAUUCUACUGCCUCAUUCAUAGUGCUUUUCCUGAUCCAAGGUUGGUUCGUUUCCCAAAUUGUGAGGUGCACGUGCCACUCUCACGCUCAGGAGUGUAUCCACGUGGUGGACAUCAGAUGGUGGCUUAAUAUCUGGUGUCGGUGGCUUUACUUUACUAGGAGAGUAGUGUGUCUUCAUCUCAUUCACUGCCGGAGGGUGGCGUAAGCAGUGACGCUAAGGUGGGGCACAGUCAAUAUCAUUUGCAUUUGACCAUUAUAGUUUUCUCCCGGCUUGAAAGUAACCUUAUCGUGAUAAAGGAUUACUAGCACUAGUUCAGAUGACCGUCAUGUUAAUUCGGACCAUGUUUGUGUCACAUUAUCAGCAACCAUGUGUUUAUGGUUCAUGCUAUCUGCAACUAAACUUGAUAUAUAACCAGGUGAACUUCAAUCAAAAUUCUGGAAGUACUCUUGUGAUAGAUGGUGCCUGUCUGCAGAGUCCAUCAAUUGAAAAAUGGAGUGAGUGUAUCUAUAAGAGGGAAGGCUUGGCAAAUGUUCAGUUUUCUGGGAAUUCAACAAGGAUCUAAAAUAGAUUGUUUUCUUUGCCGACUUCAAUGGUUGAAAUUUGAGAAGAUUGUGUCCACAUAUCACAACUAUUACUGGUCCUUCUGUUGCAAUUUAUCCUGUAAGGCUCUAACAUGUCUUCCAAUUCCCACUUCCCUGUUACUCCAGGAAAGCUAUUUCUGUCAUUGUGAAGAAGAAAAGAGAAUGUACAUAUCGAUGCUUUUAAGUGACUGGAGCAUUCAUAUCAGGUGGUCUGCAGCCAUAUAUGCCACUUUGUGAAGGUUGGAACAGUCAAUCACUAGGCUAUAUAUUGGUGUGGCCCAGCCACUUCAAUCAAGGACAAGUCUUCAUACUUAAAGUCAAAUUCUGCCUUUAGUCUCAUUAUAAAUUGCUGUUUAAAUAUUAAGCAAACUUUUGUUUAAUGCGAUUAAGACAGUACUAACUCAAUACUUGUUCUAUUUUUGGAUGCAAAUGCUUGAUGGUUUCAUCAUUGGAUGGGAUAAAGGUGCAUUCAUGAUUAUGAAUACUUGUAGUUAUAUUUUCAUUCUCUUUUUUCUCAAUGAGACUUGUUGGCACAAUGUUGCUGUUCAGAAACCUACCUCUCCAUGGAAAAUAAGUUGCGAUUGAUAGUACUGGAUAUGUUCAAGAAAGCUAAAUAUAGAUAGCACAAAAUAUUAUCGAUAUAAAUAGCAUUAACAGCGUACGUAUGUCUCAAUGCUCAUCAGCUAUAAGCAUGGGACAAACACUUACUAUGAGCAACUUACGUCAAAAUUCCAGAAUAGGACAUAGAAGUGACAGAUCUAUAUAUAUAGAACACUGCAUAUGAGUCACAAGAAAGGAAAUUACGGGUGCAUAGCAGCUCUUAUUUUACAUACUACUACUCAUACUGAUCAAAGUCACUCAGUUGGGAUGGGUGGGAGUAGGAGGUUUGUGGGGUGGCUUGUGCGGAGGAGUUGGCAGCUUCUUUCCAGGACCUGGUUGCUUCUCUGCUGGAGUUGAAGGAGGCUUAAUCUUCCGAGGUGGCUUGUAUGAGUCUUCAGCAUUCUCAGCUGGAGGGUGACCAGGGUUGUGACCAUAAUGUGGUGGCUUCUCUCCCUUAGGUGGUUUGCCAACUGGGGUUGGUGGCUUGUAUGAGUCUUCAGCAUUCUCAGCAGGAGGGUGACCAGGGUUGUGACCAUAAUGUGGUGGCUUCUCUCCCUUAGGUGGUUUGCCAACUGGGGUUGGUGGCUUGUGUUCUGGGAGUGGCUUCUCCCCCUUGGGAGGUUUUUCCAAUGGGGUUGGUUUGUGUUCAGGAGGUGGCUUCUCCACUGGAGGCUUGUGUUCAGGAGGUGGCUUCUCCACCGGUGGCUUGUGUUCAGGAGGUGGCUUCUCCACCGGAGGCUUAUGCUCUGGUGGUGGCUUCUCCACCGGAGGCUUAUGCUCUGGUGGUGGCUUCUUGAAUGGGGGAUGCUGAGGGUAAUCAGCAAGUGAGGGGGCGGUGAGAACCACCAGGCCAAGCAACACCACUAGCAAAUAUGUAGGAGACAUCUUUGGGUUUGGGCUCAGAUGGUGCAAAACUAGGAGAAUUGGCUAGCCUUUUAUAGCGGAUCGUACUCAAUAAUGAAAUGACACGUGUCAUUAUGACCCAUGUGUAAUGGGGUCGAUUUGGGUCCUACAGUGUUGAAAACUUCGACAUCCAGUUUUGGCCUUUUGCUUUCUCUACAGCCGCCUUGCUUUUUCCCUCUUUCCUUUUGUUUUCCUCCUGCCCCAUUCUAUCAACUAAACACAAUUAUGUAGUUGUUUAAUUCUUAAAUGAGAUAUUAUCGGUCAAUCGUAUUAUAUUUUAUCAAGAGAGAACGGAGUGCAAUGCAGCUGUAAUUUUAUCGUUUACUUUUAUCUCUUGGACCACUGCAUUUUUGUUAAGAGGUGCAAUAAUACACGUCUUUAUCUGCCAUUCAAUGUUUACAGUAAAGAGAGGGCACAAAACUCUUCACUGCUCUGCAUGUGUCCCAAAAAUGCGAUUGGACAAAUUAUGAUUUGCAUGCUAAAAAGAGGCAAAUGAGGUUAAUUCGCACCAUAAUUAUUUGGUUUUCUGGACACCAUAAAAAGAUGUUAUACAGGCAGGGAAAAACCUUCAGAGUUAGCUACCAAAGAUAAUUAUCAAGCAGAUAUCACCAAGAGAAUUCCAUAGAGUCUGAAUCAAAGACAGAUUGCUCGCUCGUGGGGGUUCUUACUUUCUUUUGGGUAUAACUCACUGAGGUCACUGUCUUUUUUAUUUGCAUUUCACAGUUAGAGUUCUGCUCUGGAAGGUUUGUUCUGGAAACAUAUAAAAGGAGCAUCAUUUUGUUCUUGGGUAACCCAUAGUCGUGAGUGGGUCCAUUUGCAUGCUACUUAGUUGAAAAGUUGGACAAUUUGCUCCGACGCCUACCUCCUGGAUUCCAUGCUCGGUAAAACAAGAAUAAAAAAAAAUAUAUAAUUUACAAAUGGGGGAAAGAAAAAAUGUCGGAAAAAAUAGUAAAAUUCAUGUCACAUGCUAGUGAGAGAAGGGGUUGUUACACUCACUCGAAGUUCUUUUCAAAAUAUCGAAUGGUAUUUUACUUUAUGUGUCAGCGCAGUUGUGAAUGGAACGUGCAAAAGUCCAAAUUGGCGUUUUUAUUUUUCCCAUGUAGGAUGGUGACCUUUAAUAAAUAUUUAAAACAAAAGACGAAAAAAAAAAGGAGGGAAAAGGGAUCACAAAAGAUAAAAUAAUGUUUACAAAAGCUCAAUUAGUUUGCAAAUUACUGUUUGGAUUUUGAUAGUAUUUUAUUUGUCGUUCUAUAUUUGAUGUAAAAGAGAAUUUAAGAUAUUUCCGAAGCAAAAGCAUUAGUUUGCUCUGUGAUGUCCCACAUCGAAUAGGGGAGAAAGUUUCUGGCGCUAUAUAUGUAGAGGCUCCUCUUAACCAAGUAGAUGCGUUUUAAAACCAUGAGGGCCCCCUUAGGUCCAAAGCGGACAAUAUCUACAUGAUUGGGUGUAAGUCAUUACAAAUGGUAUCAGAGCCGAUCCCCGACCCCGGUGUGGGGGUUUGUUUGGCCCUGUAAGGGGUGUUUGUCUGUUUGACCCCACAAUCCCAUGGGACACAACGAGGACGUUGUGUCUGCAUGGGGGGGCGUUUGUGAUGUCCCACAUCGGAUAGGGGAGAAAGUUCCUAGUGCUAUAUAUGUAGAUGUUUCUCUUAACCAAGUAGAUGCAUUUUAAAAUUGUGAGGGCCUCUUUGGGCCCAAAGCGGACAAUAUCUACAUGGUUGAGUGUAAGUCAUUACAUGCUCCAUGUCAAUUUCAGCAUUUCUCAUAUGUUUCACACAUACACAGAAGAGCAUCGUUUUUUAAAGCAUGCAUUUAUGUUGGAUUAAUUUGGAUUUUGUGGGAACUGGGGCAAGGAUCACAUGGAAGAGAGGUUGACUUUUUUCAGUACUUCAAUGGUUGAAAUAUGUGAAGGCUUGAUUGAUACUAAAGCUUGAAAUUGCGACUCUGUCAUUUGUAAAAAAAUAUGACAGCUUCCAUGCUCUCGUUUGGUUGCAUUGUCCGGUCGAGAGGUGCAAAAAGCAUUCUCUCUCUUCUAAUAGUCUUUUCGUUUAAAUCAAGGGAUUUGCCUUCCCGGUCGAGGUCCAAUAGAGGGUAACGGUCACCUACUAAACAUUAAAUGCUCCAACAACUAGUGAACUGAUCGACCCCAGCUCGACUAGUUGAGGUUACUUUUUGGUUUUCUUGUCUCCCGAGGUUAGAAACCUAUAAAUAGAGAGCUUCACUUCAUUUAUGAGUAAGAGAACACCUAAAUUUAUUUGUUUACCUACUUGUUUUUGCCAUAAAAGCUCUCAUUUCUUUUCUUGGUGUAUUAAAUCUCCAUUUGCAUAUCCUUUAGUGCACCUUUGUGAUUCAUUCUAGCCUUGAGUUGUAUUUAAGCCUUUGUUGAGCUAGGUUGAGAGUUUCAUACUUGUUUAUUGAGUGUUAAAGCCUUCAAGUGAGUUAAAACUUGAAGAGAUUGUGUAAGAGCCCAUUGGAGUCGGAAUCCAAGUGUAAAGGUGAUUAAAAGCUUGGUUGAAGCUUCAAGUUAGUGGAACUCUCACUCGGUUAUGAGCUUGAGAAGAGUGGACAUAGACAAGGCAGUGUCGAACCACUAUAAAAUCUGAGUUUGAUUUCUCUAACCUUAUCUCUUUAUAUUUGCUUCUCUUGUGCUUAAAUUUUUUGUGUUUAAAAAGAAUUUUUAAAAACUCAAUUCACCCCCUUCUUGGGAGUUUUUCUCUUUUAAGAUCAGCUUUUAUUUUCUCAAUUGGUAUCAGAACUAUGCCUCUUGUUUAAGACUUAAUCGUCUAAGAGGAAAUGGCUAAUCCAUCAAGUUCAUCUCACAUUGAAAGUUUUGCAACCAAUAGACUUCUUUUUUUUUUUUUGCGGGAACUGAUUAUCCCUAUUGGAAAACUAAAAUGACUUGGUUUUUACAAUCAAUUGAUUUAGAUGUAUGAGAUGCCAUUGAAGAUGACCUAACUUUUCCUUCAAAACUAGUUGAUGGAGUCAUGGUUCCAAAACCUAAGCAAGAAUGGGAUGAGCGUGAUUGAAGAAAUUUUCAAUUAAAUGCUAAAGUCGUUUAUACUUUGCAAUGCUCUAUGGACAGAAAUGAAUAUAAUAGAAUAUGUCAAUGCAAAUCGGUUAAAGAAAUUUGGAGAUUGCUUGAAAUAACUCAUAAAGGAACAAAUCAAGUUAAAGAGUCAAAAAUCAAUUUACUUGUUCAUAGAUAUGAAUUGUUUUUUAUGAAAGAUAAUGAAACUAUUGUUAAGAUGAUCACUAGGUUCACCAACAUUGUUAAUGGUCUUAAAGCCUUGGGAAAGACCUACAAGGAAUCCGAAAACGUGAUGAAGAUCUUGAGGUCACUUCCAUCAAAGUGGCAUACCAAGGUCACCGCAAUUUAAGAAGCAAAAGACUUGAUCAAGCUACCUUUGGAGGAGUUCAUAGGGUCAUUGAUGACAUAUGAAAUCAAUUUGGCAAAGAAGUAACAAAAAGGUGAAGACAAAAAGAAGAAGAACAUAACUCUCAAAGCUACAACUAAGGAAGAAGAAGUUGAAGAAGAAAAACAAAUUGAAGAAGAUGAAGAUUUAGCCCUCAUCACAAGAAAGUUCAACAAAUUCAUGAGGGGUGAAAGGUUUAGAAGAAGAAGGUUCACUUCUAGAAGAGACUUUUCUAAAAAGGAAUCUUCAUCUAAUGGUGACAAAAAGAGAUGGGAAGAGAAAAGAGACUUGGUGUGUUUCAAGUGCAAGAAACCGGGACACAUUAAAUAUGAUUGUCCUCUCUACAAAAGUGAAGUCAAGAGGAAAAAGAAUAAGGCAAUGAUGGCCACUUAGAGUGAAAGUGAAGAUGAAUCAUCCGAAGAAGAAAAUGAGAAAGAAGUGGCAAACAUGUGUUUCAUGGCAAUAGAUGAACUUGAUGAGGUAAAAUCUAACCUUAGUGAUUAAGAUAUACAUGAUGCAUUUGAAGAAUUGUAUGAGGAUUUUUAAAAACUUAGUUUGAAAAAUAUUUCUCUUAAAAAGAAAGUUCAACAACUUGACAAAGAACUUAGAGAAGUAAAAGAAAAAUUUUCAAAUGUUAAAGUUUCUAAAACUCAUCUUGAAAAAGAAAAUGAGAUUCUAAGAAAGAAAAAUGAAUAGUUGAACUCCUCUCUUUCAAUCUUUUCUUCUAGACAAAAAUCUUUUGAAAUGAUUCUAACUAGCUAAAAAUGUGUUUUUGACAAACAAGGGUUAAGAUUUAAAUCUUCAAAAAAUCAAAAGUAUUUUAAAAACUAUUUUGUAAAGGAAUCCACAAGUGCAAGUCCUUCCACUACUUGCAACUUUUGUGGAAGAGAAUGGCACAUUAGUAGUACGCCCUUUAAGAAAUGGUUCUCAAAAGAAUUUAAAUGCAAAAACUAAAAAAGAUUUGGAUUGAGAAAUCCAAGGUCACUAACCCUCAAGGACCCAAAAAGAUAUAGGUACCUAAAUCAACUUGAGUUUUAUGUUGUAAGGUUCAAAGAAUGAUAAGUGGUUCUUAGAUAAUGGUUGCUCAAGACACAUGACCGGAGAUGAAUCCAAGUUUGCUUUUCUUAAAAAGAAAAAUGGAGGAUAUGUUACCUUUGGAGACAAUGCAAAAGAAAGGAUGAUUGGUCAAGGCAACAUUGGUAAUGGCACAUCCUCUCUCAUUGAAAGUGUUUUAUUAGUAGAUGGUUUCAAACAUAACCUUUUAAGCAUUAGUCAAUUUUGCGACAAAGGUUUUUAAGUGAUUUUUUAAGCAUCUCAUUGCAUCAUCAAGGAUAUUCAAAAUGAUAAAACCAUUUUCAUGGGCCAUAGAUGUGAUAAUGUUUAUGCUAUAAAUAUUUCAAAAUAUGAUGGCCAUGAUAGAUGUUUUUCAAGCAUGCAUGAUCAAAGUUGGUUGUGCCAUAGGAGAUUGAGACAUGCUAACAUAGACCUCAUUUCCCAACUCAACAAAGAUGAACUUGUUAGAGGCCUUCCCAAAAUAAUUUUUUAAAAAGAUAAAGUUUGUGAAGCUUGUCAAGUGGGAAAGUAAAUCAAAAACUCUUUUAAAAACAAAAACUUCAUUUCCACAUCUAGGCCACUUGAGUUGUUGCAUAUGGAUUUAUUUGGUCCCUCUAGGACACCAAGUCUUAGAGGAAAUUCUUAUGCAUAUGCUAUUGUGGACGACUUCUCUAGAUACACAUGAGUCUUGUUUUUUAGUCAAAAGAAUAAAGUUUUUUAUGAGUUUUCAAAGUUUUGCAAUAAGAUUCAAAAUGAAAAAGGUUUUUCAAUUACUUAUAUAAGAAGUGAUCAUGGGAGAGAAUUCGAAAAUAUUGAUUUUGAAGAGUAUUGCAAUGAGCAUGGAAUUGACCACAAUUUUUUGGCUCUUAGAACUCCUCAACAAAAUGGGGUAGUUGAAAGGAAAAAUAGAACUCUUCAAAAAAUGACAAGAACCAUACUAAAUGAAAACAACUUACCAAAAUAUUUUUAGGCCAAAACGGUUAACACUUCUUGUUAUGUUUUAAAUAGAGUAUUAUUGAGGCUCAUACUUAAGAAAACUCCCUAUGAGCUUUGGAAAAACAAAAAACCCAACAUUAGUUAUUCCAAAGUCUUUGGAUGCAAUAUUUUAUAAUAAACACCAAAGACAAUCUUGGAAAAUUUGAUGCAAAAUUGGAUGUUGGAAUUUUCCUUGGUUACUCAACUUCAAGUAAAGCUUUUCGAGUUUUAACAAAAGAACCAUGGUUGUAGAGGAGUCCAUCCAUGUUAUUUUUUAUGAAUCUCCAAGAAAGAGAGAGGAUUGAUGAUGAUUUAGGUUUGAAGACCUCUAUAGGAAGAUUGCAAAUCGAAGAUAGAAGACAACAAGAAGAAAAUGGAGAGAAUCCAAAGAAAGAAGGAUCACCAUUGGCACUACCCCCUCAUCAACAAGCGCAAGGUGAAUCAAGUCAAGAGCUUCCUAAAGAAUGGAAGUUUGUCAUCAAUCACCCACAAGAUCAAAUUAUAGGCAAUCCAUCUAGUGGGGUAAGAACUAGAUCCUCUCUUAGAAAUAUUUGCAAUAAUCUAGCUUUUAUCUCUCAAAUUGAGCCUAAAAAUAUAAAUGAUGUUUUAGAUGAUGAAAAUUGGAUAAUUGCAAUGCAAGAAGAGUUAAAUCCAUUUGAAAGAAGUGGAGUAUGGGAAUUAGUACCAAGACCUUCAAAUCAAAGUGUUAUUGGAACUAGAUGGAUCUUUAGAAAUAAAAUGGAUGAAAAUAGCAUAAUUGUUAGAAAUAAAGCAAGAUUGGUAGCCCAAGGUUUUAAUCAAGAAGAAAUGAUAGAUUAUGAAGAAACCUUUGCCCCCGUAGCUAGGUUGGAAGCCAUUAGGAUGCUACUUGCCUUUGCAUGUUUUAAAGACUUUGUUUUAUAUCAAAUGGAUGUGAAAAGUGCUUUUUUAAAUGGUUUUAUAAAUGAAGAAGUAUAUGUUGAACAACCACCCGGUUUUCAAAGUUUCAACUUUCCUAACCAUGUUUUUAAACUUAAAAAGACACUUUAUGGUUUGAAACAAGCACCUAGAUCAUGGUAUGAAAAAUUGAGUAAAUUUCUUUUGAAAAAAAUGUUUUAAAAUGGGAAAAAUUGACACAACUCUUUUUAUAAAAACCAAAGAAAAUGAUAUGCUCUUAGUUCAAAUAUAUAUUGAUGAUAUCAUUUUUGGUGCUACUAAUGUCUCUCUUUAUGAAGAAUUUUCUAAGUGCAUGCAUAGUGAGUUUGAAAUGAGCAUGAUAGGAGAACUCAACUUCUUCCUUGGACUUCAAAUCAAGCAACUAAAGGAAUGAACCUUCAUCAAUCAAGCAAAGUAUAUAAGAGAUCUUCUCAAAAGGUUCAACAUGGAAGAAGCCAAAACAAUGAAGACUCUAAUGAGCUCAUCCAUUAAGCUUGAUAAGGAUGAGAAAGGUAAAUCCAUUGACUCUAUUAUGUAUAGAGGCAUGAUAGGUUCUUUGCUCUAUUUGACCACUAGUAGACCUUACAUUAUGUAUAGUGUGUGUUUGUGUACUAGAUUUCAAUCUUGUCUUAAAAAAUCUCACUUAAGUGUCGUGAAAAGAAUCCUCAAAUAUUUGAAAGGGACAAUGGACAUAGGCUUAUGGUAUCCUAAGAGUGAUAACUUUGAAUUAAUUGGUUUUUUGGAUGCUGAUUUUGUCAGUUGUAGGGUUGAAAAAUAAAACACUAGUGGCACUUUUCAUUUCUUAAGACACUUACUUGUCUCAUGGCAUAAUAAGAAGCAAAAUUUGGUAGCUUUGUCAACAGCAGAAGCUAAAUACAUAGCAACUGGUUUAUGUUGUGCACAAAUCCUUUGGAUGAAAUAAACACUUAGUGAUUUUGAUUUAUCUUUUGAGCAUAUUCCUAUUAAAUGUGAUAAUAGUAGUGCCAUAAGUAUAUCAAAAAAUCUCGUGCAACACUCUAGGACUAAGCAUAUAGAGAUUAGACAUAAUUUUCUUAGAUAUCAUACACAAAAGGAUGAUAUAACACUUGAAUUUGUAAGCAUAAAAGACCAACUUGCCGAUAUCUUUACAAAACCUCUAAGAACAUUUUGUUGAUAUUAGAGGACAAUUAGGAGUGAUUUCUUUAUGAUCUAAUGUGAUGAAUUCUUGAUGAAUAUACUUUUUGAUUGCAUGAAUUUCAUGUCAUAUAUGCAUCAUAUAGAAAUAUACUUAGAUAAUGGUCAAAUUUCGACCAAAAAUCAAAAUUCCCAUGGCAUUAGGCAUAAAAAUUUUGGAAUUUCAACUGAAAAUGGUAGGAGGAGGAUCACAAAAUGAGAAAGUAUGCAAAAAUUGAAAAAUCAAAACGUUGACCAAGCGGUCAAUCGGACUAGACCGAUCGACUAGUUUGUCGAGAUUUAGGAUUUUUAAGAGACUCCAACGCUUCAAUUUUUGCACCGUUCUCCUCUAUUUCUUCACGGUUUCUCUGAUUUUGUCUUUUAGAGACUAAUUUGAGUGCGUUUUGGAUCAAUUGAAGCAUUUUGGAUUGGAUUUUAGGAAGAUUGAAAGUUAAGGUUUCGGAUUUGGGUCGCCUUCUCUUCCUCUCGCGUGUCACAAUCAGCUUUAGCAUUGUUCUCUUUCCAUUUUCACACACCUAGGGUUUCAGUUGUGAGCAUCUCUCUCUCUUUACCAACCACUACUCCCUUGCUUCUUCCAUAUGGCUCCUAGGCGAGAGUCCGCUACUUCUAGGGCACAAGGCAAGCACCCAACUGAGUCGUCUCAGUCAAAGGCACGUCGAAAAGUGAGAUUUGACAUUGCCUUGUUCAGUUCCAUGGAGGACUACCAACUAUACAAGCAACACUUUGCUUAGAGACGAGUAGUUCCCAAGAGAAAUAUUAAUUUUCCUCAACUUCAGCAUUUCGAAUUUAAGGGUCUAUUUACUAGGAUGGUUGGUUGUCUAUUGUCACAAUUUCGGAGCCGGUUUUCCUGACCUUAGUGCGAGUUUUUUACUCGAGGGCGACUUAUGGCAUGGGUGGCAUGAUCAUUUCUACUGUUGGAGGAGUUGAGAUCUGUCUGGACCCAGAGAGCAUCUGCCAUAUUUUCGAUAUUGCUCUGGUUGGACUCAAAGUAUACAAGUCCAAAAUGUGGCCCAUUGUGCCAGGAUUUGAGCUUAGAGAGGUCAUUCAGAGGAUUUGUGAACUUCCAGACGCCCAGGAGAUGGGCAAACCAUUGCCACACAGUUUGACGGUCAUCAACAGGGUGCUACACCAUAUAUUGUGCUCUAUCUUUCUACCACGAAGUGGACAUUGAGAUGAGGUCUCUUAUUAUGAGGCAUUCCUUAUUGACUCCAUUCUAACGGAGAGACGAAUUCAUCUACUAUGUCAUCAUUCACUAAGCCUCCUCACAGUGACAUACCACCUCAUCAGGCACCUCUUGCUCCUGACCAUGCUCCAUUGAUGGAUUUAUUUACUCAUAUUAGCUCUCUAGGCACUCGCAUGAAGGAGUUUGUUGUAGUUAGUGAUACAUGGUUCUACUCCAUAGAGGAUCGCAUGGAUCAGUAUCAGACUGGCUUCACGUCACAGUUUGAGUAUCUCCAAUAGAGGAUUGAGCAUAUUGAGGAUCACUUGAGCAUGAGAAGAUGAUGGCUUUUCUAUGCUCUGUGUUUCCACCUCCACCUCGUCAACCUUGAUUUCUUAGAGACCCAUUGUUUUCAUUUUGUAAUGUUGCCAAAAGGGGGAGAUAUUUAGGAUCUAGGACUCUAUAGGAGACUUACAUGCAUAUCAUUUUCAUAUCAUUGUUUGGAUCGUACAUAUUGGAUAGUGAUACUUUUUACUUAUAUAUGAUAUGCCUAUAUGUUUCAUGUCUUACAUUGUUUCUUAUUGCAAAUUAUCUCUAACAUGUCUUGAUUAUCUUUUUUUUAACUUCAUAAAUUUUGAUUGUUAACCCAUGAUUGGUUUGAGGGGAAGAUUCUUCUUCUCCUAGAUAACCAAGGUUUGUCAUCAUAAAAAAAUUGGAGAUUGUUAGCCCAAGGGUUCUCCUAAUCAUGUUUUGAUGAUAACAAACCAUGCUUAAGUUACUAAUUGGUUUGAAUUAUAAAGAAUUUCAAGUGUUAAUUUGAAAAUUCAUCAAAGAACCUAAUGGAUGCAAGAUCAAGAUUUUUGGAAGACCUUUAAUCAUAAGAAACAUAUGUAAGAUGAAUGCAUGGGUGCACUUAAGAUUUGCAUAUCAUUUCAUGCAUAUUUGGAAAACACGGUUUAUGCUUUAAAGUUACAUUUCCAUCAAAAUUUGAGAUCCAUCAAAUGAACCUUAGGAAAAAUGUUUUAAAAUUGGCAUAUAAUUUUACCUAAAGACCUUGCCUAAGUGUUAGAAGCAAAAGGACAAAAAAAAUAUAGGUUUUCUGGUCAAAAAUGGUGAACCAGUCAAGGCAUUGUCUAAAUCAGCUCAAUCGGCCAAGGUACCGGUCGAUCGGUUUCCCUUUCCCUGUCGAGAUCUAGUCAAGAGGUACAAAAAUCACAAUCUCUGUCUCUUUCUCUCUUUGUCUAUCUUCCAGUAGUCUUUCCUUCCCGGUCGAGGGAUUUGCCUUCCCGAUUGAGGUCCGAUUGAGAGUAAUAGUCACUUGCCAAAUAUUAAAUGCUCCAACAGUUAGUGAACUGGUCGACCCCCACCUUGCCCAGUUGAGGUUACUUUUUGGUUUUCUUGGCUCCCGAUGUUAGAAACCUAUAAAUAGAGAGUUCCACUUCAUUUAUGAGCAAGAGAACACUUGCAUUUAUUUGUUUACCUACUUGUUCUUGCCUUAAAAGCUCUCAUUUCUUUUCUUGGUGCAUUAAAUCUCCAUUUUGAUAUCCUUUAGUGCACCUUUGUGAUUCAUCUUAGCCUUGAGUUGUAUUUGAGCCCUUUUUUUAGCUAGGUUGAGAGUUUCAUACUUGUUAAUUGAGUGUUAAAGCCUUCAAGUGAGUUGAAACUUGUAGAGAUUAUGUGAGAGUCGAUUGGAGCCGAAAUCCAAGUGUAAAGGUGAUUAGAAGCUUGGUUGAAGCUUCAAGUUAGUGGAAUCCUCACUCAAUUAGGAGCUUGAGGAGAGUGGACGUAGCCAAGGAAGUGUCGAACCACUAUAAAAUUUGAGUUUGAUUUCUCUAACAUUGUCUCUUUAUAUUUGUUUAUCUUGUGCUUAAAUUUAUUGUGUUUAAAAAGAAUUUUUAAAUACCCAAUUCACCCCCCUCUUGGGUGUUUUUCUCUUUUAAAAUUAGCCUUUAUUUUCUCACAAACUAUUGUAGUAUAGUGGUUUUUAGGUGUCAUCCAUUAGGAUGAAUUGUUCUCGGUAAUUAAGGCGUGAAUGAGAGGAGAAUUAAUGAUUGUGAUUAAGUAAAAUUGAUUUGAAAAUUCAUGGUGAAAAAUCAAUUUAACAAUGGUUUCUAAUUGAGAAAAACAAUGAAAUGUGAAAUAAAAUAAAAUUAAUAGGAAAUGAAAUUCUCGAAGUUAGAAUUUUCUAAAAAACAAAUUCCAUGGUGAAUGGAUGUUGAGAUCUAAUUUUCAUCAAGUUAGAUUGAAAACCGAAAUUUUCAUAUAAACUGAUUUUUUAUUUAGUUUUAGGUCUAGAUUUAAUUUCCCUUAAAAUUAGGUUAUUUAAUCCAAGAAAUCAAUUCAAAUCAUAUAUUCAAUUCAUCUUAAAUUAUCUUCCAAUUAUUCACACAAUGCAACUAUUCAAUCUCAUCAAAUCUAGCUUUUAAGAAUUUAAUGAAUCUACCUAGUUUGCAUUGUAAUAGUCAUCCAUGACAAUUUGAAGAGAAAAAUAAUUCAAUUAAUCAAUCACUUGGAUCAAAUUACCUUUGCAAUUAAAGUUCAUUUCUCUAAUUCACCACAGAUUUUGUCUCUAGAUCCUCCUUUCUCAAAGAAAAAUGAGAUUUAGCCACACAUGAUUGGAGAUUUGGUCUCAUAAGGCAUGUUUAGCUAGUGAUAAAAUGAGAGAAAAUAAAGAAAAAUAGAGAAUUCGAUUAAGAAAGAAAAUCUAAAAAAUUCUACAAUUAGAAAUGUCCAAAAAGCUUUUUCAUGAGAAAAUCAAGUUUCUAUUUAUAGGCCAAGGUCAAGUGGACACUUGACAUCAUCUAAGAGGUCUUCCGGAAGCUUCUUCAUCAAGAAAUCUGGAGUUUAAUAAUAAAAUGGUCAUUUCACAAGAGCUCAAACAAUUUCGCAUGAUUAUGUGAAAUAAAAAAUGCAACAACAGCAAUUUACAUCUUCUUGGAGCAUUUCGCAUGACUGUGUGAAAUUUUCACAUGAUCAUGUGGAAUCGACUUGACAACUCUCAUUUAGCCUACAACAUAAUUCCACCUUUUGGUCCAUUUUUCAUAGUCAUGCGAAAUGGAAAUAUUUGAUUUUUAAGUUUUCUUUUGUCAUUUCUUUCAUUUCCUUCUCUUGAUUCCACUUCAACUACCUCCGAAUCCUGGUCCAAACCAAUUGCAUUACUUCUUUCAUUAUGCAUUUGGAUCAUCAUCAACAUUAUUUGUUCUCUUCAAUUUGAUUCAUCUCUUUUGUCACCAAUUUAUCAAAAUCAUACCUUGAAAUGACUCCAAAACUUCAUAAAACUUGUUAGUAACUCUUGCAAGGGCAACAACAUAUUAAUUAAGUGUUUUAGGCAUAGUUACUACUCAAAAGAUGCGAAACUCAUGAUAAUUAUUAUAUAAAAUAUGCUCUUUUUGAGUAGUAAUCAACUUUCUUGCAUAAGCAGACCUUUUAGGGUGGAGUACUAAAGACCAAUAUGCUUGUCCUUGUUGUAAUAAAGAAACUUGCUCUUAUUGAUUGCACCAUGGGAGAAAAUUUUGCUACAUGAGUUAUCAUCAAUUUCUUCCCACCAAUCAUAGAUUUAGACGUGACAAGAGGCCUCUUAAUGGCAAGGAGGAACUGACACUCACACUUAUACAAUUAUCGGGCAUUGAUGUGUUGCAACAAUUAGAAUAACUUACACCAAUUAUGUUGGGGAAGUCACAAAAGGCAAACAUGAAAACUAAAAGGAAAAAAGAAAAAUGUUACAUAUCACCACAACUGGAAAGAAAAAAGUAUUUACUUUCAUUUGCCAUAUUGGAAAGCACUUAUUUUACAUCAUAAUAAUUUAGACAUAAUGCAUAUUGAGAAAAAUGUGUGACAAUAUAAUUGAGACAUUGUUCAGUAUUGACGAAGAAACAAGGACAACCUAAAUAGUCAUCUCGAUUUACAAGCUCUAACUAUUAGAAAUGAGAUUCACCCAAUAGAAAGCAGGACCAAAUUUAUUUUGCUUGCAACAUGCUACUCACUCACCCCAAAUGAGAUUAAGGAAUUUUGCAAGUUUUUGAAAUCAAUAAAGGUCCCCAAUGGCUAUUCUUUCAAUAUCUCUCGUUAUGUGCAACUCAAUGAAAGGAAGAUAUAUGAGCUCAAAUUGUAUGAUUGUCAUGUCCUAAUGCAACAACUUCUCUCACUUGUAGUUCGUGGAGUUCUACAUAAGAAUGUUUGUGGAGUUAUCAUAGAAUUGCGUAAUUUUUUCAAGCAAUUGUGCUCAAAGGUGUUAGAAACAAAUCACUUACACCAACUUGAGAACAAUAUUAUUGUCAUACUAUGUAAAAUGGAGCAAAUAUUUCUUCCAUCAUUCUUUGAUAUUAUGGUGCAUUUACUUGUGCAUCUAGUAAGGCAAAGGUUGCAAGACUUGUGCAAUAUUGUUGGAUGUACCUAAUUGAACGAUAUUGUUAUAAUUUCAUAUGAAUCAUUUAAUUUUAUUUUAUAUUAUGUUCAGUUCAUUAACAUGUACAUUGGUCUACAUAUGGAUGAUGAUAGGUACCUAAGCACUUUAAAGUCAUAUGUGCGUAAUAGAACUUUUCUAGAAGGUUCUAUUGUAGAAAGGUACCUUGCAAAAGAAUGUACAACAUUUUAUUCUAGGUACUUGAAUGAUGUGGAAAUAAAGUAUAAUCACAAUGAUAGAAACUUUGUUGGUUUCAACACUAGAGGAGAUGAAAGGGGUUAUCUUUAAACAUAUUGGACAUGCAUUGGGAAAGCCCAUAUUUCAUUAACUUAGUUCAAAAGAGUGGUCACAAGCACAUUUAUAUGUGUUGACAAAUUGCGAAGAUGUCAUACCAUUCAUUGAGUAAAAAAUUUAUUUGAAUUUUAAUUAAAGCUCUAGUUUAUAUCCUUAAUCAAUGUUUUUUAAAUUCACAAGGAGCACAAGCAAACCAUCAAGGCUAGACCACAUAUACGUGUUUGAGACGUAGAUUUAAUUCAUAACAAGGAAUUUAUCAAGUGGUUUGAAAGACAUGUAAGUAUAUUCCUUAUUAUAAGGGAUUUAUUUCACAUUAUGUUUAUAUUGAAUCCAAACCUAUUAUUGAAUUGUAGGUUGAACAAUUACAUAAUGAAGGUCAUAUAUCUGAACACCUUCUCACAUUAUCAUGUGUUCCAAAUUCAUUAGUUACAUGCUUCAAAUGAUAUAUUGUCAAUGGAUUUAGAUCCCACAUUAAAGAACGUGAUAAAAAAGUUUUUAAAAAAAGACUCAGAAUAAUGGAAUUGUUGUAGUUGCAAAAACGUCAAGCUUUACAAGUGCAUGUGAUAUGAGUCCAAUUAUUAGUGAUGCUCUCUACUAUGGUGUUCUAACUAAAGUUGUUGAGUUACAUUAUCUUGGUGAAAAUAAGGUUGUUUUAUUCGAGUUUGAUUGGUGGGAUGUUACAAAUAUUGGAAAAUUGAUAAAAGAUGAUGAGUACAAUUACACAUUUGUUAACUUUGCAUGAAUUCUAACCACGAACGAACGAUUUGUACUUGCAUCUCCAGCAAAGUAAGUGUUCUAUGUGAAGAAUGCGAAUGAAUCAGAUUGGCAUACUAUCAUGGAGAUGCAACCUCAAGACCUCUAUAAGAUGAACGGGAUAGGAUCCAAUGGUGAUUUUGAACCAUUUCAACAAAGUGAACUACAUGAUCACUAAUAUAUCUCAGAUUUAGUUGAUGAAGAUAUAAUCAAGUGGAACAAAAGUGAUGUUUUAGGACUAAUCAUCCUAAAAAAUAUUGUAGUUUCUUAAAAAAAAAAUGAAAAUGAAGAAGAUAAUUGAACCUUUGUCAUACUUUAAAAAGCAACUAUGCAUUGUUCAUUUUGUAUGUUUUGGUUUUCUUCAUUUAAUUUCCUGAUUUUUGUGAUUCAAUGUCAUAUUAUUGAUCUUGAAAUAUUUUUCUAAUUUUUCAUUCUACGAUGGUUUCAACAAGGAUGACAUCAAGUCAAAAAAGGAAAUGUGGUCCCACACACAAUAUUGCAUUACAGGGAUUAAGGUCAGGGAAGAAGGUAAAAGUUGCAUUUAAUGAGUACAAUCAAUUGGUUAAACAGAAAAAUGGAAAACACUUAUCGAGCUACAUAGGGACACUUGUAUCUAACCAACACAAUGUACCUCUCCAAGCUAGUGAUUGGAAAAAUGUUCCAAAUGAUGCAAAAGAGAAAGUAUGGCCUUUGUUUUGGUAUGUUGUAUUUCUCACUAUAUGAUGUCAUUUCACUGUUAUUCUAUUUUGUGACUAACGUUUGAAUCAUAUGUAAGAAAAAUUUGAAGUAGAUAAAGACUGAAAAGAUUACAUGUUGGGUAUAGCCUCAAAUAAAUAUAGAAGCUAUAAAAAUAUGAUGAAUGCAAAAUACUAUGACCCUUGGCAUAAGGAUGCAUGAGGAGAGGUUAAUACAUAAAUCACCAUUUGUCUCUGAUGUUGAUUGGAAGUGGCUUGUCUCUGAUGCAUAAACCAAAUCCCCCACUGAAUGUUUGAUAUUUGAUAGCAGGAAAAACACACCCGCAGCUAUACACCUCCAUCAUUCAGAUAAUUAUAGUGGGGGAGAUGAUUCAUGGUUGCCCUUAUACCCUUUAUUUGCACCAUCUAUUGAGAUUCUUUAUCAUGGCCAGGUUUUACUGCAGCAAUAAGAUAUGGUGGCAACAAUUUUAUCUAUAGGUGCGGUUCCAGACCGCCUCCAUAGGUGCGGUUCCUGACUGCCUCCAUAGGUGCCUCUUCUUGUAAUGUUUGUUCUGGGAAUUACACUUGAAAGCCUUAUCGUGAUAAGGGAUUACAAACACUAGUUCAGAGGACAGCCAUGUUAAACUUCCACUAUGUUUGUGUCACAUUAUCAGCAGCCUAGUGUUUAUUGGUCAUGCUAUCUGCAACUAAUAUAACCCGGUGAACUUCAAUCUAAAUUCUGAAAGUACUCAUGUGACAGAUGGUGCCUUUCAGCAGAUAUCAUCAAUUUAAAAGUAGUGUGUGUGCCUAUAGGUGGGAAGGCCUUGGCAAAUGUUCAGUAUUCCGGUAAUUCAAGAAGGAUAUAUCUAAAAUAGAUUUUCUUCUUGCCCAUUUCAAUAGUUAAAAUUUGAGAAGAUUGUGUCCACAUCACACAAAUAUUAUUGGUCCUUCUGUUGCAAUUUACCUCUGAACAUGUCUUCCAAUUCCCACGGUCCUGUUACUCCAGGAAAACUAUUUCGGUCAUAUUGAAAAAAAAAAUAUUAAAGAAGGUACACAUGCUUUUAAGUGGACUGGGGCAUUCAUAUCAGGUGGUCUGUAUCCACAUAUGCCACUUCGUGAAAGGUGGAACAGCCUAAUCACUAGGCUAUUUAGUGUGGCCCAGCCACGUUAAUCAAGCACAAGUCUUCAUACUUAAAGUCAAAUGGUGUCUUUAGUCUCAUUACACAUCGCUAUUUGAAGAUUAACUCAUCACUAGUGUAAUGCGAUUAAGACAGUCCUAACUCAAUAUUUGUUCUAGUUUUGGAUGCAAAUGCUUGCUGGUUUCAUCAUUGGAUGGGAUAAAGGUGCAAUCAGGACUAUGAAUACGUGCAGUAAUACUUCAUUCUCUUUUUUCUCAAUGAGACUUCUUGGCACAAUUUUGCUGCUCAGCAACCUACCUUUCCAUGGAAAAUCAGUUGUGACUGAUAGUAAUGGAUAUAUUCUAGAAAGCUAAACAUAGAUAGCAUUCAAUAUUAUCGAUAUAACAUUAACAGCGUAUGUCUCAAUGCUCAUCAGCUACAAGCAAUGGACAAACACUUUGAGUAACUCACAGCAGUCAAAAUUCCUAAACAGGACAGACGUGACAGAUCUAUAUAUAGAACACUGCAUAUGAGUCACAGGAAAAGAUAAUACGGGUACAUAGAAGCUCUUAUUUUACAUAUUACUCAUACUGAUCAAAGUCGCUCAGUUGGGAUGGAUGGGAGAAGGAGGUUUGAGGGGUGGCUUGUGCGGGGAAGUUGGCAGCUUCUUUCCGGGAGCUGGUUGCUUCUUUGCUGGAGUUGAAGGAGGCUUAAUCUUCCGAGGUGGCUUGUAUGAGUCUUCAGCAUUCUCAGCAGGAGGGUGACCAGGGUUGUGACCAUAAUGUGGUGGCUUCUCUCCCUUAGGUGGUUUGCCAACUGGGGUUGGUGGCUUGUUUUCUGGGAGUGGCUUCUCUCCCUUGGGUGGUUUGCCAACUGGGGUUGGUGGCUUGUGUUCUGGGAGUGGCUUCUCCCCCUUGGGAGGUUUUUCGAAUGGGGUGGGUUUGUGUCCUGGUGGUGGCUUCUCUCCCUUGGGAGGUUUACCAAUUGGGGUCGGUGGCUUGUGUUCUGGGAGGGGCUUCUCUCCCUGGGGAGGUUUAGUGGGUGGCUUGUGUUCUGGAGGUGGCUUCUCCACCGGAGGCUUAUGCUCUGGUGGUGGCUUCUCGAAGGGGGGAUGCUCAGGGUAAUCACCAAGUGAGGGGGUGGUGAGAACCACCAUGCCAAGCAACAACACUAGCAAGUAUGUAGUAGACAUCUUUGGGUUUGGACUCAGACAGUGCAAAACUACGAGAAAUCGCUAGCCCUUUAUAGCGGCUCGGACCUAAUACUGACAUAAUAUAAAAUAAAUAUUAUAUUUUAUCAAGAGAGAACAGAGUGUAAUUUUAUCAUUAAUACCGAUCGAGGCCAAAGAAAGAAGACCCAUAAUCCAUUUCCCACAAGCAUACACAAUGCAGCUGUAAUUUUAUCAUUUACUUUUAUCCCUUGGACCACUGCAUUUUUGUUGAGAGACACAAUAACACAUUUUUAUCUGUCAUUCAACAUUUACAGUAAAGAGAGGGCACAAAACGCAAUUAGAUAAAUUAUGUUUUGCCUGCUAAAAAGAGGCAAAUAACUUUAUUUGCAACAUAAUUAUUUUGGUUUCUAGUGACCCCGGGGCCUUUCGGUUGGUUUGGGAUCGGAAAAUGAACAUCAUAGGGGGGGUUGUGCCCUUAUGGGCAUAUAUAUCUGAUAGCUUCAACUGGCCUUGUUCCUAGAAAGAAAUUGCCAAAGAUAUAAACUUAUUCCAGGCUGAAAGUAGAUGAGAGUCAUAAUGAACAUCAACCUUUGUUCAGUUUGAUUCAAUGCCCCCAUAGUGUUCAUUUCACAGAUCUGAAUGAUUAUAUCCGUUGAAUACAUAAAUUAAUGAAGACAAAUAUGAAACCCAAGAUACAUCUCUGCAUAACAACCCCAACCCUGGUUGCUAUGUUUCCCUUCUUCUAUUCACAUGAGGAUACUGGUUAUAAUUGUCAAACUUGCAACAAGCCCUUUGACACCUAACGUCAAUGGACGAAUUAAAAGUCUCCUUCAAACGUCUAUUUCACAGCAUGAAGCUUAUAAAGGAUGCUGACAACCUUCAGAGUUAGCGACAAAAGAUAAUUAUCAAGGAGAGAUAGUUCCAUGAGAAUUCCAAGGAGUCUGAAUCAAAGACAAAUUGCUCACUCAAGGGUUCUUAUUUUCUUUUAGGUACAAAUCUCUUGAGUGUUGUUAAAGAAACACGUCACUGUCAUUUUGAUUUGCAUUUAACAUUUCACUUUUGUUCUGGAAGGUUUGUUCCGGAAACAUAUCAAAUGAGCAUCAUUUUCUUCUUCGGUGACACAUGGUCGCGAGUACGUGGGUCCAUUUUCAUGCCACUUAGUUGAAAAGUUGGAAAGAAAAAACAUGCCAACAAGAAGAUAGUGAGAGAAGGGGCACUUCAAGCCUUUAACAUGAACAAACAGUAAAUAAAAGAUGUUUCUCCACUCAUAAAAGUGUGUUAGAUAGCAAUAUAACGAAUCACAUCCAAAAUCUUUACUAGGCUCAAACAUAAAGAAGACUCAUUUUUAAGAAAAGAUAAAAAUGGCAUUGUCUGAUAGUAUCCAAUACACGAGAUGGCACUUAAUUUGUACAAGAUCUGUCAAUGCUGACGCACAUUUUCUGAUUAAAAAAAAACUGAUCAGUCAAAAGCAAUGAAGAGAAGUGAUGACAAUGAAUGAUGCUUCCAAUAUUUUCACCCCUUAUAGUGUUCUUCAUGAUUCAGAUAUAUAAUUGGAAAUAGAACAACCCUAUGCCAUACAUUCGUCUAAGUAUGGUGUCUAAUUUUUUGUGUCAGCGGUUGCGAAUGGAGCGUGCAAAAGUCCAAAUUGGCGUCUCUCCAUUUCCACAUAGGAAGGUGACCUUUAUUGACAAAUACCCAAUAUUUGUAGACAUUCCUUAAAUAUCAUAACUUCUUGUUGAUUUGAAAAUCAUUUUUCAACUACCAUGUUUUAAUAAAUAUUUUUUAAAAUGUAUUUUUAUCAAAGUCCACCAUGAUGGAUAAUAUUCACCAUGCAAUAAUUAAUAAAGUACAAACUAAGCGAAAUGAAAAGCAUUUUCUUUGCUUUGAGUUGAUUUUGGUUGCAUUGAGUUGAUUUUGGUUUCAUGGUUUUUUCAACUCUUAUUUUGAUUGGAAGAUGUCAAGAAAAGAAAACAUAAAGAAAAAUUAAAAGGGAAAAAAGAAGAAAAAUAAAAAAAAAUAGAUUUAAAAGUUAAUAAAUUAUUUUUUAUAUUUAUUUUAAUUCAUUUCACUUAUUUUUCUUUUACUAUAUAAAAUUUAAAUAAUUUAAAUUUUAUAAUUAAUUUAAUUACAUUUCAUUUUCUUCUAUAUUUAAAUAUUGGAAAAAUAUUUUACUUAAUAUUUUUUUCUUUAAUUUCUUUGGCAUUUUGGGAACCAAACUUAGCCUUUAAAAUAAAAAACAAAAAAAAAAUGAAAAUAAGGAGGGAAAAGUGAGAAAAGAUAAAAACAAUAUGUAAAGGAUUUGAAAAGUAUUAGUUUGUAAUUACUAUUUGGAUUUCAAUAGUAUUUUAUUUGUCUUUCUAUAUUUCAUGUAAGAGAGAAUUUAAGAUAUUCCCCAAGGCAAAGCAUUAGUUACCUGCAAUCAGUGGUGAUAAGGCUCCAAGCCAAUUUUGGGCCCCAUAUCUUAAGACAGUACAAUUUCCAUUUCAACAUUUCUGAUUUCUCAGAUGUUUCACAUACCACAGAAGAACAUUGUUUGUGAAAAUAUGCAUUUAUGUUGGAUUUUGUAUGCUGUGGGGACUGGGGCAAGGAUCAUAUGGAAGAGUGGUUGACUUUUUCUGUACUUUAACGGUUGAAAUAGGAUAAGCACGGGCAUUUGUGAGGCUUAAUUGAUUUUGAAGCCUGAAAUUGCGUUUCUGUCAUUUUGUCAAAAAAAUGGCAGAUUCCAUACUCAUAUGUUUGGCCUGUGGCCAUGUACAGAUGCCAUUUAGUGACCAGUUUGUAACUGUCAAUCGUUGCGUUUUGACUCUGCCUCAACAACAUCUGCCAUUGACGGGUUUUCAUACUUGCAAAUCAAAUAGUCUUUCGUCCCAUCAGGAAUUUCGGUUUAAAUAUUAUUAAGCAUACGUUUGGCUGACAAUCAUUAUCCAGUUCAUGAUUUGGUUUCUUACCCUUAAUCAAUGGUUUCUAAGUGAAUAUAUGUAGAAGGAAAUCCGAAGUGUAGACAGUAGUAUCGAUAACUCUCAAUAUUCUCUAUAUAAUAGAAUAAACAGCGUCAUAGUGAUCGUCGCCUACAAGCAAGGUACAAAUACCAAAACGAGUGACUCACAUAGACAUCUCCCAACAAGAUGUAGUAGUGACUGACACAUGGACACAAUUAACUCGUAGAAAAGGAUAAGACCAUUGCACAGCAGCUCUUAUUUUACAUACUACUUAUGCUAACCAAAGUCAAUUAGUUGGGAUGGGUGGGAGAUGGAGGUUUGUGCGGUGGCUUGUGGGGCGGAGUUGAUGGCUUCUUUCCAGGAGCUUCUGGCUUUUUCAUCGGAGCUGAAGGAGGCUCAAUCUUAUGAGGCGGCUUGUAUGAGUCUUCUUUACUCUCGACAGGAGGGUGGCCAGGGUUGUGAUCAUAAUGUGGUGGCUUCUCUCCCUUAGGUGGCUUGCCAACUGGGGUUGGUGGCUUGUGUUCAGGAAGUGGUUUCUCUCCCAUGGGAGGUUUAGCAAUUGGGGUUGGUGGCUUGUGUUCUGGGAGUGGCUUCUCUCCCUUGGGAGGUUUAGUAGGUGACUUGUGUUCUGGAGGUGGCUUCUCCACCGGAGGCUUGUGCUCCGGUGGUGGCUUCUUGGUUGGAGGGGGCUUGGGGUAAUCAGCAAGAGAUGGGGUGGUGAGAACCACCAGUCCAAGGAACAACACUAGCAAGUAUGUGGGAGACAUUUUUGAGUUUGGGCUGAUCAGAUGAUGCAAAACUAAAGCAUUACGUGACCUUUUAUAGCAUGUAGCUCCCAAUACCCACUAAGUAUUGUGGGGUCCAUUUGUGCCCUACGGGGUUGAAAACUUAGACAAUUGGGCAAGGACCCACCUGACUAUGGAGGACUAGUGAGGUGUGAUCAUAGCUUUAGGAUUUUUCUUCCUCUGCAGCCGUCGUGCCGUUGGCAUGAUUUUCUUAAUCUUAAAUAAAGGCAUAGUUAUAGAGUUGUUUAAUCUCUAAAUGGGAUUUUAUAUAUAUCUUCAGAUAGCCAUUAAUAUAUUUGAUGAAGAAAGAAAGACAAGUGCAUACAACAUGUAUACGACUAGCUUUCAUGGAGUUCAUUUAUGAUCAGUUUUCCUGUACAUGUAAACCAGGAUCAUAUAUAUGUUUCUGUUCCACAACUAUUUUGGAAUCUUGUUUAUCAGUUUUUAUCAUUAUAAUGUCACAUAGGCUGCCAACUUGGGCGCUAAAAGAACCAGUUGGGCUAGUUCGUUUCAGAAUUUCAAUGUGGAUUCAGGAAUUGUUUUGUAAGAUAUGCGAAAUAGUAGAGGGAUGAAUAGUGUUUCAUUAAUAAAAGUGUCCUGUAAAUUAGAAGGUGUCAUAGAAACUAUAAUCAAUAAAUAACUUUUUUUCCCCACGGGUGGUGUUUCUUGUGGGGAUCAGUGACUGGUUUAGGUUCACCCAAAAUGAGUUCAGACUAAAAUUGGUUUGAGUCAAUGCCGUGUCUCUUUUUUCCAGAAAUCAACUAUUUUAUGCAUUGAAUAAAUCAUACAAAGAAAAUAUGAACGCCCGCAAAACCUAAACCCUGGUUGCUAACUUUCUAUGUUUCAGUUCUAUUCACGCAAGAAUAUUAGUUUAAGUUUGGGAAAAAUGGCAACUUACCUAGUGAUUACUUGGUUUUGGUUUGCGACUAUUUACGCAACCAACCAUGAGUUUGACUUUAACGUCAUGGGUUGAAGCCUCCUACAGGAAGGGAGAAAGCUCCACAGCUAGCUCCAAAAGAGAAUUAUCACAUUGAUAGCUCCAGAGAUUCCCAAGGGGACUGAAUCAAAGACAAGUUCCUCACUUUUUCUUCUUUUGAGGCCAAAUAUGAACCAAGGAUCACACAACCUCAUUCAACUUCAUAAGUUUGAUUUCAUGCAGUUGAACACUGGGUGAAGGCCAUGACAAGAAUUGAUUCAAAAAUUCUAUCACUCUUUUAAGUAAUGGAAGAUUAUUAUCUCUGAUUGGCAUCACAACAGCACAUGCUCCUAGAUCUUUCUAGACACUCCAUGCAAUGAAAGCACAAUGGAUCUUGUAACGAUAGAAACUAAGCCAUGCUACAGUACUAGAUGAUGAGGUAAAACUAGUAGACACGGGUGGCAGCCUAUAUGGGAGGGACACAAGUCUAAUUGAUUUGCAUUUCAGCAUUAUAGAUAGGUAUGUUUUGGAAGAUUUGUUCUGGAAAUACCGCACCAAGUAGGAUUCUUUUUCUCUUUAGUGGGUCCACUUGCAUGCCAAUUAACGAGUUGAAAAGUAUGAGCACCUACCUCGUGCUCGUGGAACCGAAGGUCAGUGAAGUGGGGCUCCUUUUGGCCUCGUGUAAACUUGAUUCAGAAGUGAAGUUAAUAGUCUUCCAUUCAGAUGGAUACAUGGGAAUUUUUCUCUUUUAUUUAUUUAUUUAUUUUUUUUUUGUGUGUGUAUGUCAAAGGAUAAUGAAUGAAGCGCGUUAGCUUGUUUUCUGACUGGAACCGCAGAUGUCCAAAUUGGAGUUCCUUCAUUUCUUACUUAGGAUUGUUACAUGUAUAAACAAGGUAUAAGAAAUAUGCCAACGUGUCUUGAGGAGUUAUUGAUUAGAAAUAACAAGUCACCCGACUGUAGAGUUCCAAGAUUUGAAUCUUCAGACCCUAUAGCAGCCUCUGGGGUACGUGGCAUCCUAUAGCAUAUUAAUGAAGGCUUUUUCGAUUUAGACUUCACAAUACCAAUUAAUAUGUAUGCACAAAAUGGAGAUGACCCCAAAAAAAACAGAAUCGCCAUAGUUUAUGAGGUUAAGGUGAUUCUCCACUUAAUAUCUACAUUAGCUAAUUAUGUAAAUCAAAUGAACUUCUAUUUUUCCUUUUUUUUUUUGGUUUAUGUCAAAUAGUAGCCCAUAAUUAACCCAACCAUUAGCCUGUUUGAAUUGAUUUCACAUGCACAAUGUUGUAGUAGUUCAUAUUUUGAAUUUUAUUUUUACAAAGGUAGUUAAGGAAAAUGAAGUAUAAUAAUUAUAAAAGCAGACUAUAUACACUACAAUAAUUGUUAGAAUGGUAUCUCAAAUUCUAAUUUAAAAUAUUAUUUUUUGUAAAAGAAAUAUUAUAUAGAAUAUUUCCUAAUUUUAUAAAUGAUUAUAAUUAGAUCUUUAUAAAAUAAGGAAAGUUGGUAAGAAUAUCUUUAUAAAUAUUUUAGGUCAUGAGAGAAAGAAAUGGGAUAAAAAUGUGAUGAAGAGGUGAAAUAAGAGAGUUGAUUAGGAUAUAGAUGUGAAGAAGAAAGGGAUUCAAUAUAUAUAUAUCUUUCAAUUACCACAUUAAAACCCUGUGAACCUUUUAUAUGGUUUACUUUAUUUUUAUAUUCCUCCUUUAAUAUAUUUACAUUAAUGCUUCCAUUGGCACAACAAUAACGAAUUACAAAUACAAGCAACAAGUCCCAUGUUUUAUUACCAAAAGCAGGUAAAAUCCACCUAAUAUAUUACAAUAUAUUCAUCCAAUAUUUUAGACCAAUUCUUCACCAUAAAUAUCAUAAUGUGGCUUUUGUUCUUUCUUAAAUUUAAAUUGAAUUGUCUUAUAUCAAUUUGUUUGUGAUUUUUUCAUUAACUUCACUUUCAUUUGGUUAUCUUUGGUUUUUGAAAAGUAUUAAGGAAUUAAUUAACAAAAUAAUGUUAAGAAAAAUAAUUUUCUCUCUUUUGAUUUUGAUUUUGUAGUAGAAAAAUAUAAUUAAAAUUAUUUAAAAAGUAUGUAAUUUUAAAUUAUUUAAUAUUUAGAUAAAAAAAAUAAGUCUAAUGAGUUUAAAAUAACAUAUAAAAAUAAUUUAUUUAUUUUAAAUUUAUUUUUUAUUUUCCAUUAUGUUCUCUUUCUCUUUUACUUUUUCAUAUUUUUUCUUACGAAGAAUCAAACACAACCUCAUAUUAUAUGUCAAGUGUUUGUCUAUAUUUGAGCAAUGUUAGAUACGGCCAUGGAUUCAUCAAACUAAACUGAUUUUAAUAGAUACUUCACAAAUUGAUUUAUACACUAAAUCAUUGGAUAGCAAUGAUGCAUUGGAAUUAAACGUAGGAUGAAGCUCGAAGAACACUGUUUGUGUAACAACAUAUUUAUGAAAUUAUGCAAAGGAUGAGCUUCGGGGUAGUAGUACAAGGUCAUUAAUGGAGAGCCGUGUUAAACCUUGAUUGUGAUUGGAUUCCGUUAUCAGCAACAGCAACCUUGUUUGUAACCUUGAAAGUCAUUCUGUCCACAUCGAAACUCCAAUUUGACGUUUGUAAUUACCAUUCCUGGAGUGUUCCUUGAUUGAAAUUUAAAUAAUAAUUGCGGCCCACAAGGAAUAUUUUCGAUUCUGUGGGAAUUUGACAAGGUUUGUUAGAGAAGACUGGUGACAUGUUGACUUCAAUGGUUCAAAUAGGAGACGUAUGUGGAUUUGGGGGGUUUAAUUGAAACUGAGUCCCUAUGGCUUUUUAAUAUUUGCAUUGAGCAGUCUCCAUGUGACUUCCUAAUUCCCACCAACCCUCCUGUCCAUGCUGUGAAACUAAAUUGUAAUUUAUCAGCCUUUGUCAAUGGUUUCUAAAUUAAAGAUAUAGACCAUGCAUGUACUUUAAUAAAAGCAAAUCUAAAGUGUAGAUAGCAGCAAUGGUGACACCCAAUAUUCUCCAUAAAAUAGAAUUAGAAUAAGCAGUGUUACAUUGUUCAUGAUCACCUACAAGCAUACAAGAACUUCCAUGAAUAACUCAUAGCAAUUGCCAACAGGGCGUCGUAGAGACUCAUACAUAGAACACUAUCCACCCAGAGGAAAGGACAAGACCAGUGCGCUGCAGCUCUUAUUUUUCACAUGUAUACCACCACUCGUAAUAACCAAAUUCACUCAGUUGGGAUAGGUGGGAGAUGGUGGUUUGUGGGGUGGCUUGUGGGGAGGAGUUGGAGGAGGCUUUAUUUUCUGAGGCGGCUUGUAUGAGUGUGCAGGAGGAUGCCCGGGAGUGUGACCAUAAUGUGGUGGCUUCUCUCCCGUAGGUGGUUUGCCAAAUGGGCUUGGUGGCUUCUCUCCCUUAGGAGGUUUACCAAUUGGGGUUGGUGGCUUGUGUUCUGGGAGUGGUUUCUCUCCCUUGGUAGGUUUGCCAAUUGGGGUUGGCGGCUUAUGUUCUGGGAGUGGCUUCUCUCCCUUGGGAGGUUUGCUAAUUGGGGUUGGCGGCUUAUGUUCUGGGGGCGGCUUCUCUCCCUUGGGAGGUUUGCCAAUUGGAGUUGGCGGCUUAUGUUCUGGGAGUGGCUUUUCUCCCUUGGGAGGCUUGCCAAUUGGGGUUGGCGGCUUAUGUUCUGGGGGUGGCUUCUCUCCUUUAGGAGGUUUGCCAAUUGGAGUCGGCGGCUUAUGUUCUGGAAGUGGCUUUUUUCCCUUGGGAGGUUUGCCAAUUGGGGUUGGCGGCUUAUGUUCUGGGGGUGGCUUCUCUCCCUUGGGAGGUUUGCCAAUUGGAGUCGGCGGCUUAUGUUCUGGGAGUGGCUUCUCUCCCUUGGGAGGUUUUGUUGGUGGCUUGUGUUCUGGAGAUGGCUUCUCCCCUGGAGGCUUGUGCUCCGGAGGUGGCUUCUGAAAUGGCGGGGGCUUGGGGUAAUGAGCAAGAGAUGGAGUACUGGUGAGAACCACCAUUCCAAGCAACAAUACUAGCAA
Molecule: long non-coding RNA, 32354 nt
Filed under: Vitis vinifera (wine grape)
Lineage: Eukaryota; Viridiplantae; Streptophyta; Magnoliopsida; Vitales; Vitaceae
Description: long non-coding RNA (VVIN_LNC001392)
Source: RNAcentral